GAUGAAGAACGUAGCGAAAUGCGAUAAGUAAUGUGAAUUGCAGAAUUCAGUGAAUCAUCGAAUCUUUGAACGCACCUUGCGCCCUUUGGACUUCUGAAGGGCAUGCCUGUUUGAGUAUCAUGAACACCUCAACUCCUUAUGGUCUUCCAUGAUGAGCUUGGACUUUGGGGGUUUUGCUGGCCUACAGUCAGCUCCUCUAAAAUAAAUCAGCUUACCGGUGUUUGGUGGGUAUCAUGGGUGUGAUAACUAUCUACGCUCGUGGUUUUCCACCAGGUAACCUUCAGCAGUGGAGGUUCACUGGAGCUCAUAGAUGUCCCUCCUCAGCGAGGACAGCCCUUUGAAUGUUUGAUCUCAAAUCAGGUAGGACUACCCGCUGAACUUAAGCAUAUCAAUAAGCGGAGGA
Molecule: unclassified non-coding RNA, 403 nt
Filed under: soil metagenome
Description: partial contains 5.8S ribosomal RNA, internal transcribed spacer 2, and large subunit ribosomal RNA
Rfam family: 5.8S ribosomal RNA (bases 1-120)
Source: RNAcentral